CCUACGGGAGGCAGCAGUGGGGAAUAUUGCGCAAUGGGCGAAAGCCUGACGCAGCGACGCCGCGUGAGGGAUGAAGGUCUUCGGAUCGUAAACCUCUGUCAGCAGGGAAGAACGGUCACUGUGCUAAUCAGCAGUGAAUUGACGGUACCUGCAAAGGAAGCACCGGCUAACUCCGUGCCAGCAGCCGCGGUACUACGGAGGGUGCGAGCGUUAAGCGGAAUUACUGGGCGUAAAGCGCUCGUAGGCGGUAUGACAAGUCAAGGGUGAAAUCCCCGCGCUCAACGUGGGAACUGCCUUUGAAACUGGCGAACGUGAGUGUGGGAGAGGAUAGUGGAAUUCCAGGUGUAGGAGUGAAAUCCGUAGAUAUCUGGAGGAACAUCAGUGGCGAAGGCGACUAUCUGGCACAUAACUGACGCUGAGGAGCGAAAGCGUGGGUAGCAAACAGGAUUAGAUACCCGUGUAGUC
RNAcentral lists this ribosomal RNA (465 nucleotides) under uncultured bacterium. RNAcentral's name for it is "partial 16S ribosomal RNA". It matches the Rfam family "Bacterial small subunit ribosomal RNA", at positions 338 to 795 of the family's 1533-position model. The record is from RNAcentral.